RNAcentral lists this ribosomal RNA (614 nucleotides) under bacterium. RNAcentral's name for it is "bacterial SSU rRNA". It matches the Rfam family "Bacterial small subunit ribosomal RNA", at positions 76 to 677 of the family's 1533-position model. The record is from RNAcentral.
GAGCUUGCUUCUCUGGAUGAGUUGCGAACGGGUGAGUAACGCGUAGGUAACCUGCCUGGUAGCGGGGGAUAACUAUUGGAAACGAUAGCUAAUACCGCAUAAAAUUGAUUAUUGCAUGAUAUUCGAUUAAAAGGUGCAAUUGCAUCACUACCAGAUGGACCUGCGUUGUAUUAGCUAGUUGGUGAGGUAACGGCUCACCAAGGCGACGAUACAUAGCCGACCUGAGAGGGUGAUCGGCCACACUGGGACUGAGACACGGCCCAGACACCUACGGGAGGCAGCAGUAGGGAAUCUUCGGCAAUGGACGGAAGUCUGACCGAGCAACGCCGCGUGAGUGAAGAAGGUUUUCGGAUCGUAAAGCUCUGUUGUAAGAGAAGAACGAGUGUGAGAGUGGAAAGUUCACACUGUGACGGUAUCUUACCAGAAAGGGACGGCUAACUACGUGCCAGCAGCCGCGGUAAUACGUAGGUCCCGAGCGUUGUCCGGAUUUAUUGGGCGUAAAGCGAGCGCAGGCGGUUAGAUAAGUCUGAAGUUAAAGGCUGUGGCUUAACCAUAGUACGCUUUGGAAACUGUUUAACUUGAGUGCAAGAGGGGAGAGUGGAAAUCCAUGGGUA